Molecule: long non-coding RNA, 3704 nt
Organism: Bubalus bubalis (water buffalo)
Lineage: Eukaryota; Metazoa; Chordata; Mammalia; Artiodactyla; Bovidae
Exons: 2
Source: RefSeq, a predicted model, not a curated record
UGCAGCAUGAGGAAUCUUUAGUUGCAGCAUGUGAACUUUAGUUGUGCCAUGCUGGAUAUGGUUCCCUGGCCAGGAAUCAAAUCUAGGCCCCCUGCAUUGGGAGCACAGAGUUUUAGCCACUGGAGGGAAAUCCUAGUAGGAAGGCACCAGACCACCUGAAUCUAUUAUUUUUGUAUCCAUCUACAUCCAAUACUCAUGGAGCACCUAAUUCUCCAGAUGGGGUGGAGACAAAAGACCCAGACCUUAUAAGACAGCAUGUGCUUCAUGGUUGAGAUCCGUGGGAACCACUAAGGGUCAAGAAAGGGAGCCAUCGGCUAGGCCAAAACAUUGUGAAGCGGGAGCAGGAUGCCGGCAAGGCAAGGCAUACAGCAUGGGAAAGGAGGCAGGGUUCGGAAAGUGGAGGCAGGCUGGACAGAGACAAGGGUUAGUCUCUGGAAAGUUGACAUAUGUGGAGCCCAGGAGAGGAGGGCCUUGCUAGGCAAUACAAGAUUCUCUUCAAGUCUGGAGGAACUGCUCAAUGCAGGGGGCUUGGAGGACCCUAGCUGGGUCCUUUUCUCAUCUCUGCCCUGCAAGCUCCCCACGUGUUCUUUACCCCAAGGUGUCGGCCAUCACCCAUCCCAUGGCUAUCAAUCUUUCUUCCUGGCUUUGAGACCUCCAGAUGCUUUCCAGAUCUGCAUCUACAUUGAGUGUUGACACAUACACCCAACAGUUCCUUACUUUAAGGACUUGCCUGUCCCAUUCAGUUCAAGGCCCCAGCUCAAGGCUUGACAAUCACAAGGUCAACCCCUAUAAGAUGUCGUCAGAUCUCCCCUUUUCCUCCCUUCCCGGAACCCCACCAGUUCCUGAGUCCUGUCGUAGGUGCAUCUUCCUUGGGUAAAGCACACAGGCUCCACGGUCAGAGAGACUAAAGUUCAGAUCCUGACUCCACCACCAUUAGCUGUAAGCCUUGCCCAAGACACUUAAGCUAAUGGAAUCUCACUUUCACCAUCUGUUAAAUGGGUAAUGAGAUAAUGUAUGUAGCACAACCUUGCUCAGGGGUCUGGUGUGCAAUCAGAAGUAAUAUUAAGGCAAUGUACAUCUUUGAGAGUCACUCAGUGUCCAUUAGAUUGAAGGCUUCUGAACAAUCUCCUUGUAGCUGUGUGUUGGUUAUUUUCUAUCACCCCUUUCUGGGUUUCCCUGGUGGCUCAGAUGAUAAAGAAUCUCCCUGCAAAAUGGGAGGCUUGGGUUCAAUCCCUGGGUUGGAAAGAUUCCCCUGGAGGAGGAAAUGGCAACCCACUCCAAUAUUCUAGCCUGGAGAGUCCCCAUGGAAGACCCUGGUGGGCUACAGUCCAUGGGAUCGCAAAGAGUCAGACACGACAGAAUGACUAAGCACAGCACAGCACUCUCUGCUACAGAUCCAUUCUCUGUGCCUUUGACUCUGCUCUCUGCUCCCCAGCACACCACUGAAUCUCCCCUCAGAGGAUCCCAGAGGGAAGCUGGGCUCCCUUCAGCUUCUGAUUGAGUUCAACCAGUGGGCAGCCUUUGGAGAAUAGGAGAGGGGAAAGGCUGGAUGGUUUAGUAUUUUAUGCUCUUCCUGCCGUGGCCAUGGUGGUGGUCAUGCUCCCCUAGGCUCCAGCCCUGGUGGAUAGCCCUCUUGUAUAGCUGCAGCUCUCUCAUCUCUUGCCCUCUUAGACCUGGAGGUGGUGAGGGCUUCUUACUCUUGCUAGUUUCUAGGUGCUCCGUCAUCCUUUUGAUGGCAUCCCAAACCCUGCUCCGCUCUUCACAGUCCUUUCAUCAAACUCUUCUCACUUCAACUCUGUGUGUGCCUGCCCGUUUCUAUUAGAAAUACCUGCCAGGACAAGGUGCUCGUGGCCUUUUGGGAAGAACAGUGGCCCUCAAGAUGAUAGAGAGAUGGGAUCCAUCUGGAGAAAAGGGUAGAUGAGGGCCUGGGAUCGAAGAGGCAGUGACGCAAGGGUGGGGAGGAAGGCAGUUGAGAAAACCCUCUCUUUUGCUCUGCGGAGUGCCUACCUCUUCCCCUGGCUAUGCUGUGGCGAUGACAUGUGUGUUCAUUGACAUGUGUUUCAUUGAUUAGAAAACCAAAUGCUACUUUUAGAUGCAUGUUCAGGGAAUUGGAAGAUAAAUCUUGAGAACUGAGCAUCUUAUAAGCAACCCCAGCGUCACAGAAGCCCUAAUCCUGUUUUGCCCGCUCGAGCCUUGCCUCAGGUGGCGUUACAGUUGAUGCUGGAUUUAAUUAGGAGUGUAGACGCCUUUUCCCAGGUGGGCCAGUGGUAAAGAAUUUGCCUGGUAAUGCAGGAGAUGCCAGUUUGAUUCCUGGGUUGGGAAGAUCCCCUGGAGAAGGAAAUGGCAACUUACUCCAGUAUUCUUGCCUGGAGAAUUCCAUAAACAGAGGAGUCUGAUGGCCUACAGUCUAUGGGGGUUGCAAAAAAUUAGAUAUGACUUAGCAAGUAAAACAACAACACACAGAAGCCUUUGUGUCUCUCUCAGCAAAAUCAAAUGCAGACUCUCCAGGCUCCCAUACCCCGUCACAGACAACCCAAUUUAGAACAAAGUGUUGAAUUUGGGCCUUGCUUCCCCAAUGCCCAGCCCAGAGCCUGUGGACCCUCUGCUGCUCUAAGGAAGCCCCUUUAGGUGCCUGAGGUGCUGGCUGCUGUCGGUGUGGAUGAGAGUGAAGGGCCCAUGUCCAUGGCAGGUCAGGAGAGAAGUAGUUCUGAAGUGAGUGGCUUGUGGGAGGGAAAGGGGAGCCACAGGAGGAAGCUGGUGAGCUAAACCUGCACUUUUGUCAAGAUGUCACAGCACUCGUGGGAAGAGGGCAAGGCUGGUUCUCUCAGCAGAGCUGCCUCUGUGACUCUGGAUUCUUUGCCUAAUUCUGGAUCUGCAGUGUACAUAUAUCAUGCUGGAGCAGAAUUGGCCCUGGAAAAUGUUCAGGCAGAGCAGCAGCCAUGGAGCAGGCCCUGCUGUCCUGGACUUUCUCCCUUGUCUUUCCCUGGCUCUCACCCACCGCAUUUCAGGACUGGGAAAGGCAUCGUAAAGACUGCCCUGAUCGAUUCCUGGAUUUAAAAGGAUGGCCUGUGGAAGCUGUGAUAAUCACAAGAGGAGAGCGAGACCCUGCCCCAAGUAAACUCUUUCCUUUUUUGUUUUUCAUGUUUUGAUCUUAUGAGCCUUGACUAGGCUCCACUGAAAACAAUGGCAACGUCUUCAAAGAGGAGCAUCAAGCCCUCUGAAUGGGCUAAUUCUGCUGCAGGUUCCCGCUAUCCAUCCGCCCUUGACAAGCGCCAGUAGAAGUCAACAGGUGGUUGUCCAAAUAUAAAUGAAAAGGCUUAACUCUGAAAACAUCGCCGUCUGAGGGGAUUUUGUGAAGACUUUACUCUGUGGUUUUGGCAGUGACUAUGGGUUUCUUUGCCAGCGCACAGAGAAAUUUGACCUGUGUCCCUCAAGGGCUAGAGAUUUUCAUCAUGACUGUCUCCACAUAGUACCUACCCACCCCUUCUUUUCCUCAACAAGCUAGUAAAUUCAAAAAUAAAAAGUGAAGAGAGAGAGAGAGAGAAAGGCUGAAGAAACAAAGGAGAGGGAGUACCUGAGUCUGUAUUUUAUUCCCUUAUUAAAACCACAUUUACAUGUGUCAAAAACAGGGGUAUUUUGAUGUGUGGGAGGAGAGAUAUUUUGCAAGCAGAUUUCUCUCAAUAAAAUUUCCUCCGUGCUGACAA